This 383-nucleotide ribosomal RNA is filed under the name uncultured bacterium. RNAcentral's name for it is "bacterial SSU rRNA". It matches the Rfam family "Bacterial small subunit ribosomal RNA", at positions 969 to 1375 of the family's 1533-position model. The record is from RNAcentral.
CCUUACCAGGCCUUGACAUCCUUGGAACUUUCUAGAGAUAGAUUGGUGCCUUCGGGAGCCGAGUGACAGGUGCUGCAUGGCUGUCGUCAGCUCGUGUCGUGAGAUGUUCGGUUAAGUCCGGCAACGAGCGCAACCCACAUCGUUAGUUGCCAGCAGUUCGGCUGGGCACUCUAGGGAAACUGCCCGUGAUAAGCGGGAGGAAGGUGUGGAUGACGUCAAGUCCUCAUGGCCCUUUCGGGUUGGGCUACACACGUGCUACAAUGGCAUGAACAAUGGGUUAAUCCCCAAAAGAUGUCUCAGUUCGGAUUGGGGUCUGCAACUCGACCCCAUGAAGUCGGAAUCGCUUAAAGGGCGUAACAGCAUGACGCGGUGAAUACGUUCCC